CCCCGAGGGAGCCAGGGGCCGCUGCGUCCGAGCAGGCGGGGUUCGAGCCCGGCCCGGCACGGUCCGAAGUCCGCGCUAUGGGAGAAGAGAAAUACUUGCCUGAGCUGAUGGCAGAGAAGGAUAGCCUGGAUCCAUCUUUUGUGCACGCGUCGCGCCUUCUGGCGGAAGAAAUUGAGAAAUUUCAAGGUUCAGAUGGAAAAAAAGAAGAUGAGGAAAAGAAAUAUCUCGAUGUCAUCAGCAACAAAAAUAUAAAGCUUUCCGAAAGAGUAUUGAUUCCUGUUAAACAAUACCCAAAGUUCAAUUUUGUGGGAAAAUUGCUUGGACCAAGAGGAAACUCCUUGAAGAGGCUACAGGAAGAAACAGGCGCUAAAAUGUCUAUCCUGGGCAAAGGAUCGAUGCGAGAUAAAGCAAAGGAAGAAGAGCUGAGGAAGAGCGGGGAGGCCAAGUAUGCCCAUCUGAGCGAUGAGCUGCAUGUACUAAUUGAAGUGUUUGCUCCUCCCGGGGAAGCUUAUUCACGGAUGAGUCAUGCCUUGGAAGAGAUUAAAAAAUUCCUGGUGCCUGACUACAAUGAUGAAAUCCGUCAAGAACAGCUCCGGGAGUUGUCUUACUUAAACGGCUCAGAAGAGUCUGGCCGUGGCCGGGGUAUUAGAGGCAGAGGGAUCAGAAUAGCUCCCACAGCCCCUUCCAGGGGCCGUGGGGGUGCUCUUCCCCCCCCACCACCACCUGGACGAGGUGUUCUCACCCCUCGGGGUACCACUGUGACCCGUGGAGCUCUCCCAGUGCCCCCAAUAGCUAGAGGUGUCCCUACACCUCGAGCCCGGGGGACGGCAGCAAUACCGGGAUACCGAGCACCCCCUCCUCCAGCUCAUGAGGCUUAUGAAGACUAUGGGUAUGAUGAUGGCUAUGGAGGAGAGUAUGAUGACCAGACCUAUGAGGUUUAUGAUAACAGCUACAUGACCCCAACACAAAGUGUGCCUGAAUACUAUGACUAUGGUCAUGGAGUAAAUGAGGAUGCCUAUGACAGCUACGCACCUGAAGAAUGGGCCACAACUCGCUCCAGCCUGAAGGCACCACCACCAAGGUCAGCCAGAGGGGGAUACAGGGAACACCCCUAUGGUAGAUAUUGAAGGUCCGCUUCACCUGUGACCUCCUCAAAGACAGUUCAUAGCCUGUGGUGUCCACAUAAACAGCAACAAGACAAGUCAGCACAAUGAACACAUAAAUGGUAGCAGAUGUGAUGGACUAAGAGGGAUCAAGGACUGAAUUCCUUUGUAUGAUUGAAUAGUAUUCUGCUAUGCAUAUGGACAACACUUAGUUUAUCCAUUCCUCAGCUGAUGGCCAUUUUGGUGUUUCCAUGUGUUGACUACUGUAAACAGAGCUGCAGUGAACACAGGAAUGCAGACUAAAGAAGAAGUUAAUUUGGCCAGGCACUGAAAGAGAUGGCAUCAUGAAAGAGAUGAGAUUGGAUGGAAUGGUCAGAUGUGAACAAAAAGUAAAACUACGAAUCUUUGAACCUUCAGCUGGGUCAUAACUACCGAGUACAGAGCAUUGUCCUGGAGAAUAAGUGCAAAUCACAGAUGUCUGUAAACCAGGUCUCCACCUCCAGGACUGUAGAAUCUGGAGGGAAAAUAAAGCUUAAAAUGCACAGAGGAACAAUACUGAUUUUCAUUAUUGAAAUAUUCAAAUGGUAACCGAGUUGUCAGAUUCAUCAAAGAAUUUAUAUGUUGACUGUAACACAGCUUUGUUGAGACUGCCAGAAGUCCCCAUGUGAACUGAGGAUAAAAAUCCCCUGCAGCUUGAACUACUGGAUUAGAAGGAAAUUUCUAAAUUCAGUAUGUUAAUGAAGACAACCCAUUGAUGAGAAAAAUCAACUGAAAUUCACAGUGUUUUGCAGCUGAUACAACUAACUUGAACUAAAGCAUUUUUCUUUUUUGGAGUAGAGAAUAAUGGCAAGGUGGUAAAAACCCAAAUUCAUAAGGGAAAAAGUUAAACACGAGCUGUUUUUACGGGCCACCUAACAUUCGGUGUCUGGGCUAAAGUUAGUAAAAGUGUAUAAAGGAAUAAACCAAGUCCUGGCGCUAUAAAAAGCAAUCCAAUAGUUGAGAUCUUUAAAUAAA
Psammomys obesus (fat sand rat) is the source of this 2117-nucleotide RNA transcript. It is a transcript of the gene named KH RNA binding domain containing, signal transduction associated 2, with no coding region annotated. The transcript is spliced from 15 exons. Lineage: Eukaryota; Metazoa; Chordata; Mammalia; Rodentia; Muridae. The record is from RefSeq and is a predicted model, not a curated record.